RNAcentral lists this long non-coding RNA (426 nucleotides) under Homo sapiens (human). RNAcentral's name for it is "HSALNT0246220". The record is from RNAcentral. Lineage: Eukaryota; Metazoa; Chordata; Mammalia; Primates; Hominidae.
GGGGACUGAGGGCUCCCAGGGUCCUGAUCCUGUCCCCUGCAGGGGAGAGGCCCCUCGCCUACAGAUUGGGAGCCCUGCAUCCACAGCUUCAGCGCGGUGGCCCGUCCUACUCCCAGGGAUGUGUGUGGCCACAGCCACGCUGGGAGAUGCUCUCAGGUGUUGUCUAAGGGAAGACGUGGGCCUGGAGGUCAGGAGACCCAGGCUGAACCCCUGACGCCCCUGCCCGGACCACAGCCCUCUCUCCCUGUGAAGGUCCCUGGUCCCUGGGGCCACCACUUUCCACCCCAGAGGGAGGCCCCUGCGAUUGAUUGGUUGGCUGAGUGACUGAAGCGGGGGACGGUUUAGGGGAGCAUUUGCACAGCUGGCCAGGCUGUGACUGUGGGGGCCUCUGCCCACCCCCAUCCAGCCCCACCUUGGACGAAGACG